Gasterosteus aculeatus aculeatus (three-spined stickleback) is the source of this 952-nucleotide long non-coding RNA. The record is from Ensembl. NCBI's taxonomy places the organism in Eukaryota, Metazoa, Chordata, Actinopteri, Perciformes, Gasterosteidae.
AGCCGGAGCAGACUGCGGAGGUGUUCCGUGUCCCCGAGCCGGAGCAGACUGCGGAGGUGUUCCGUGUCCCCGAGCCGGAGCAGACUGCGGAGGUGUUCCGUGUCCCCGAGCCGGAGCAGACUGCGGAGGUGUUCCGUGUCCCCGAGCCGGAGCAGACUGCGGAGGUGUUCCGUGUCCCCGAGCCGGCGCCGCCGACUACCCCGGAGGUUUCCCGUGUCCCCGAGCCGGCGCCGCCGACUACCCCGGAGGUUUCCCGUGUCCCCGAGCCGGCGCCGCCGACUACCCCGGAGGUUUCCCGUGUCCCCGAGCCGGCGCCGCCGACUACCCCGGAGGUUUCCCGUGUCCCCGAGCCGGCGCCGCCGACUACCCCGGAGGUUUCCCGUUUCUCAGAGCCUGCCAUUCCUGAGACGUUCCGUGCCCUGUGGUCACCGCUCCGGAGCCGGCGAAAGGACCGCCCGCCGGGCCGACCCCCAGAGGCUCCCCGCUCGUCUGGCCGCCCGCCGGGCCGCCCGCCAGAGUUUCCCGGGUGGUCCGACCAACGUCUCGGGUUUCCCUCCCCCCCACCCCUUGUUUUGCUCUAGUGUGAGCCGCCUGGAAGUCGGCCCUUGAGGGGGGGGGUACUGUCACGGUGUGGUUCACUUCCUGUCUUAUUUUGUAGUUUUCUGCCACUCGUGUCCCCGGGUAACUUCACUUCCUGCCUUGUCUCGUCAUCCCCUGUGUUCGUCUAAUAGUUUCCACCUGUGUCCAAUCACCUGCACCUCCCUUGUGUAUUUAAGCAGUGUGUCUCCUGUGUCACUUGUCGCGUCAUUGUCUUUCGUCUUGGAUCGUCGUAGUCUCUUGCCUGUGUGCGUUUGCCCCCAGUUCCGGUGUUUUUUGAUCCUUGUGACUAUUAAAGUCUUUUGUUUGCCGCAAGUCUGCGUUUGAGUCCUGCCUUCCACCCUCAACCCUGACA